GACGAACGCUGGCGGCGUGCUUAACACAUGCAAGUCGAACGGAAAGGCCCUGCUUUUGUGGGGUGCUCGAGUGGCGAACGGGUGAGUAACACGUGAGUAACCUGCCCUUGACUUUGGGAUAACUUCAGGAAACUGGGGCUAAUACCGGAUAGGAGCUCCUGCUGCAUGGUGGGGGUUGGAAAGUUUCGGCGGUUGGGGAUGGACUCGCGGCUUAUCAGCUUGUUGGUGGGGUAGUGGCUUACCAAGGCUUUGACGGGUAGCCGGCCUGAGAGGGUGACCGGCCACAUUGGGACUGAGAUACGGCCCAGACUCCUACGGGAGGCAGCAGUGGGGAAUAUUGCACAAUGGGCGGAAGCCUGAUGCAGCAACGCCGCGUGCGGGAUGACGGCCUUCGGGUUGUAAACCGCUUUCGCCUGUGACGAAGCGUGAGUGACGGUAAUGGGUAAAGAAGCACCGGCUAACUACGUGCCAGCAGCCGCGGUGAUACAUAAGGUGCGAGCGUUGUCCGGAUUUAUUGGGCGUAAAGGGCUCGUAGGUGGUUGAUCGCGUCGAAAGUGUAGUCUUGGGGCUUAACCCUGAGCGUGCUUUCGAUACGGGUUGACUUGAGGAUUUAGGGGAGAAUGGAAUUCCUGGUGGAGCGGUGGAAUGCGCAGAUAUCAGGAGGAACACCAGUGGCGAAGGCGGUUCUCUGGGCCUUUCCUGACGCUGAGGAGCGAAAGCGUGGGGAGCGAACAGGCUUAGAUACCCUGGUAGUCCACGCUGUAAACGGUGGGUACUAGGUGUGGGGUCCAUUCCACGGGUUCCGUGCCGUAGCUAACGCUUUAAGUACCCCGCCUGGGGAGUACGGCCGCAAGGCUAAAACUCAAAGGAAUUGACGGGGCCCCGCACAAGCGGCGGAGCAUGCGGAUUAAUUCGAUGCAACGCGUAGAACCUUACCUGGGUUUGACAUGGAUCGGGAGUGCUCAGAGAUGGGUGUGCCUCUUUUGGGGUCGGUUCACAGGUGGUGCAUGGCUGUCGUCAGCUCGUGUCGUGAGAUGUUGGGUUAAGUCCCGCAACGAGCGCAACCCUUGUUCACUGUUGCCAGCACGUUAUGGUGGGGACUCAGUGGAGACCGCCGGGGUCAACUCGGAGGAAGGUGGGGAUGACGUCAAGUCAUCAUGCCCCUUAUGUCCAGGGCUUCACGCAUGCUACAAUGGCUGGUACAGAGAGUGGCGAGCCUGUGAGGGUGAGCGAAUCUUGGAAAGCCGGUCUCAGUUCGGAUUGGGGUCUGCAACUCGACCUCAUGAAGUCGGAGUCGCUAGUAAUCGCAGAUCAGCAACGCUGCGGUGAAUACGUUCCCGGG
Molecule: ribosomal RNA, 1342 nt
Filed under: uncultured bacterium
Lineage: Bacteria
Description: 16S ribosomal RNA
Rfam family: Bacterial small subunit ribosomal RNA
Source: RNAcentral